UACGUAGGGUGCAAGCGUUGUCCGGAAUUAUUGGGCGUAAAGGGCUCGUAGGCGGUUUGUCGCGUCGGGAGUGAAAACCCAGGGCUUAACUCUGGGCUUGCUUUCGAUACGGGCAGACUAGAGGUAUGCAGGGGAGAACGGAAUUCCUGGUGUAGCGGUGAAAUGCGCAGAUAUCAGGAGGAACACCGGUGGCGAAGGCGGUUCUGC
Molecule: ribosomal RNA, 207 nt
Filed under: uncultured bacterium
Lineage: Bacteria
Description: partial 16S ribosomal RNA
Rfam family: Bacterial small subunit ribosomal RNA
Source: RNAcentral